RNAcentral lists this long non-coding RNA (698 nucleotides) under Vulpes vulpes (red fox). RNAcentral describes it as "lncRNA (ENSVVUG00000025085.1)". Lineage: Eukaryota; Metazoa; Chordata; Mammalia; Carnivora; Canidae. The record is from RNAcentral.
CUUGACUUGGAAAUAUAAAAGAAGGAUAAAUAUGUUUCAAGGUAUAAUUUACAUUUUACUUAUGAUUCUGCUUUGAUUUUAAAAUAAAUUAGUGAUUAGAACUUCCCAUCCUCAUGCAGCUACAUAUUUAUUACAAAUUCCUUGAGUGACUUUCAGAUCAUGGGCUCCCAAGACUAAAGUCUUGAUGGUUUGAGAAUUUUAUGUGGAGAAGAAUGCUACAAGAAUGUAUAUGGUAAAGGCAAACCACUUAAAUAUGUCCUGGGUUGUGCAAUGGAAUUCAGCAUCACUGUGAGUAAAUACUACAUUUUGUGCUUUUACUCAGGACUACACUCCCUGCUGCCUCCUGCAAUCACCAGUAUACAGAGUGGAAGAUCUCUUUAUUACUGCAGAUUCAUUUUUGGGUAUGAAGCAAUGACUCCCCUCACUCACUCCAGCGUCUGUCAAAUGGUCACCUCUCAGGUGUAGAGGCUGGUUGGUACAUUUGGGUAUUGACUAAGUACAAGUUUAUUUCCUCAAACUGAAUGUGAGUAUAAGAGGAGGGACCAAAAGCUAUAUUUCUCCUUUUUGUAUUAACAAUAUGUAUUUCUCAGAACACAAGAAAAAAAUGAGUAAUAACAUCACUUAAGAUAUAGUUAUAGGAUGUAUACAUGCAAGAAAAUCUUAAAAAAUAAAUAAAUUAGGGACGCCUGGGUGGCUCA